RNAcentral lists this ribosomal RNA (433 nucleotides) under uncultured bacterium. Its description in RNAcentral is "partial 16S ribosomal RNA". It matches the Rfam family "Bacterial small subunit ribosomal RNA", at positions 29 to 507 of the family's 1533-position model. The record is from RNAcentral.
AGCGAACGCUGGCGGCAGGCUUAACACAUGCAAGUCGAGCGGGCCUUUCGGGGUCAGCGGCGGACGGGUGAGUAACGCGUGGGAACGUGCCCUCUGGUUCGGAAUAACUCAGUGAAACUUGAGCUAAUACCGGAUACGCUCUUUUCGGGUAAGGCCUGCUGCCGGAGGAUCGGCCCGCGUCUGAUUAGCUAGUUGGUGAGGUAACGGCUCAUCAAGGCGACGAUCAGUAGCUGGUCUGAGAGGAUGAUCAGCCACACUGGGGCUGAGACACGGCCCAGACUCCUACGGAGGGCAGCAGUGGGGAAUAUUAGAGAAUGGGCGCAAACCUGAUCCAGCCGUGCCGCGUGAGUGAUGAAGGGCUUAGGGUUGUAAAGCUCUUUUAUCCGGGACGAUAGUGACGGUACCGGAGGAAUAAGCCCCGGCUAACUACGUG